RNAcentral lists this ribosomal RNA (253 nucleotides) under uncultured bacterium. Its description in RNAcentral is "partial 16S ribosomal RNA". It matches the Rfam family "Bacterial small subunit ribosomal RNA", at positions 524 to 776 of the family's 1533-position model. The record is from RNAcentral.
UACGUAGGGUGCGAGCGUUAAUCGGAAUUACUGGGCGUAAAGCGUGCGCAGGCGGUGAGCUGUGUCCGAUGUGAAAGCCCCGGGCUUAACCUGGGAAUGGCAUUGGAAACUGGCUUGCUGGAGUGCGGCAGAGGGGGGUGGAAUUCCGCGUGUAGCAGUGAAAUGCGUAGAGAUGCGGAGGAACACCGAUGGCGAAGGCAGCCCCCUGGGUCGACACUGACGCUCAGGCACGAAAGCGUGGGGAGCGAACAGG